GGCUCGGUAGCUUAGUUGGUAAAGCGCUCGUCUAGCAUACAAGAGUCCUGGGUUCAAAUCCUAGCCAAGCAC
Non-coding RNA from Aedes aegypti (yellow fever mosquito), 72 nucleotides. Lineage: Eukaryota; Metazoa; Arthropoda; Insecta; Diptera; Culicidae. The record is from Rfam.